UCUUGCCUGGGGUGUGCGUUAUUAGUUACGUCCCUGAGCCGAUAAUUUGAAACUUUGAGUUGAACAUCUAACCGCCGGUGAGCAAGCUUACUUUAAGUAAGAAGCCUAAAGGUGAUUAAGUUUGACUCCCUUGAACCGACUGGUUCAAGGACCAUUACUGGUAGCGGCAUCUCGGGUACUUA
RNAcentral lists this non-coding RNA (182 nucleotides) under Mannheimia varigena. Its description in RNAcentral is "6S RNA". It matches the Rfam family "6S / SsrS RNA". From Rfam's summary of the family: E. coli 6S RNA was the first non coding RNA to be sequenced, but its function was unknown until recently. It consists of 184 nucleotides that fold into an extended hairpin structure with a large single-stranded internal bulge. The 6S RNA specifically associates with RNA polymerase holoenzyme containing the sigma70 specificity factor. RNAcentral also lists the same sequence under 1 other name. Lineage: Bacteria; Pseudomonadati; Pseudomonadota; Gammaproteobacteria; Pasteurellales; Pasteurellaceae. The record is from RNAcentral.